UUUAGAGAAGCACUUAUGGCUAGCUGUAAUCCCUUCUAACUAUUCGUGCUUUAAAUUAUUUUAUCUAAAGGAAAGAAACGUUAAUGAUGUUCAUCUUGAGAAGUCCAAAUUUGCCAGCCUUGUAUGAACCUUACAGAGAAGUGGAUUCUCAAAAAUGUAAUUCCUCGCCUUACAAAAAAGAAGCAGUGGUGUCCUGGGUCCAAAAGUGAGGAAACACCAGACAUGCCAAAAGGUCUGUGUCUAAUUGCUUUUACUAUAUUCUGGAGAUCAAAGCUUCAGAUUUUACUGAUACAAAUGCCAUAUUUAGCUUUGUCUGUUUUCCCUCUCCAGUCUUUCUACUCCUGUGGUCUAUACCAUUCCAGGGUGGAGGAGAAGAAAUAAUGACAAUUUUGGGAUUUAAAAUAUUUACUUGAUCAUCGUGUUUGUGUGUAAAUAAACACCUCAAAAUGUGAAAACAAAGAAGAAAUUAUAGAGACAGUUUAUUUCUACUUUAAUAUUUUACUCCUAGAAAACGGUAGAUCCUAAAUACACAGAAGAGUUACUGGGCAUAUCUAAAGAAUGCAUAAAAGUUUAAAAGACUUUUUAAAUUUAAUUUAAUUUUGAGACAAGGUCUCACUCUGUCACCCAGGCUGACUGCAGUGGUGUGAUCUUGGCUUACAGCAGCCUCAACCGGGACUCAAGUGAUCCUCCCACCUCAGCCUCCUGGGCAGCCAGAACUACAGGAAUGAAUCACCACAGCAGACCAAUUUUUAGUUUUAUUGUAGAGACAAGGUCUUGUUAUUUUGCCCAGGCUGGUCUUAAAACUCCUGGAGGCAAACAAUCCUCCUGCCUCGGCCUCCCCAAGUGUUGAGAUUACAGGCUUGAGCCUCUACGCUCAGGCAAAAAGCCUCUUUUCUAUCUCAGCUUUUCUUUCCUUAUUCAAAACCAAUGAAUUUAAUUUAAUGAAUGGAGUUUCUCGAGGUUAAACUUUUCUAGAACUCUUAAGAUUUGGGUGCCUGCUUUUCUUUUCUUCUAGCAGAUGUAAAAUAAUAUGACAUGAAAUUAUUAAUUUUUUUUUUUGAGACAGAGUUUUGCUCUUGUCACACAGGCUGGAGUGCAGUGGUACGAUCCUGGCUCACUGCAACCUCCGUCCCCUGGGUUCAAGCUAAUCUCCUGCCUCAGCCUCCUGAGUAGCUGGGAUUACAGGCGCCUGCCACCACAACCAGCUAAUUUUUGUAUUUUUGGUAGAGAUGGGGUUUCACCAUCUUUGCCAGGCUGGUAUUGAACUCCUGACCACAAGUGAUCCACUCGCCUCAGCCUCCCAACGUGCUGGGAUUGCAGGCGUGAGCCACUGCGCCCAGCCAAAAUUAUUAUAUUUUAAGUUAUUACUCAACCAGCAAGGCUAGUCCCUCAAAUUAAAUUAGGUAAGUAAGUAACUAGGAUAGAUAUCUAUCAUCCUAAUAUAUAUAUAUUAUUGUAAAUUUUAUGCACUAUUCUUUUUGAGAUUCAGAAACCCUUAUACAUCAAACACAGUUCCAGUUACUGAUGGUAAAAUUAUUCCUUGUCAUAUAAUGUCAUAAAUCUGUAACUAUUUUGGAGCAGAGUAUCAGAGUACCAAGGGUUGUGGCUGCUUUGUCAACUUAAAAAAUUGAAAAUCACUGUCUUGUAG
Long non-coding RNA from Rhinopithecus bieti (black snub-nosed monkey), 1648 nucleotides. Lineage: Eukaryota; Metazoa; Chordata; Mammalia; Primates; Cercopithecidae. The record is from Ensembl.